UCUUUUGAUUCUUUUGAACUUGCAACUGCAGACUGGGGCAAGACGUGCACACAGACUGAAAGCAGUGGCAAGCAAUGAAGUUUGCCCAUCUACAGUUUUCAUGACUUUUUGGAAACAGAUGAGCAACUUUUACAAGUGUCUCCCUCUCAAAUUUCCGGUGAAAUGAAUAAUGUCAGCUGAGCUCGUAAAUCUGUUUCCCUCUGAAGGGGGAGGAAGGCACCACAGCCACGGGAGCGCUGCUGGAGAGGCUGAGGAGGAUGCCACAGCAAUUAGGCUGAGUAAUUACAGCAAUUUCCCUUGAUUCCUCCUCUCUUUCCCUGGCAAGGUGAUCCUCCACUGCCAAGGCAGCCUUUCUGAAGAGGAUUUCCUUCAACGCAUGCCUCUUUUCAGAAGCAGCAAGUCUGUAAUGGUGACUUCAGGAUGAGGCCUUCUGCAGCUUACAGGUUCUGUCCCUUUAUUUUUGGGGCCUCACAUAGAAGAGAACUGAACCCAGAGUCCAGCUGGGACAGGUCCCAGCUUCCUUCUUGUGCCAAAGAAACAGUGGUCAGCUUGGAGAGGACCUGCCAAAAUCAAACCAUUUCUUGAGCUCCUCCAUUUUCAAGAUGAGCUUUCACAAGGCUAGGUUUCAUGCCACCUGCAUCAGGACCUUCUGCUUACAAUCAGGCUAGACAACCUAAGGAACAGCCCUCUGGCCUUUUGGAACCUCUGCUUCCCAUGCUGGCGAGGGGAUGUGGGAGGAAGGACAGAUUUACUGGCAGAAAGAGAAGGCAAGUGACUGAAAGGGGAGGAGGGC
Long non-coding RNA from Colius striatus (speckled mousebird), 793 nucleotides. RefSeq lists it as uncharacterized. The transcript has 5 exons. The record is from RefSeq and is a predicted model, not a curated record. NCBI's taxonomy places the organism in Eukaryota, Metazoa, Chordata, Aves, Coliiformes, Coliidae.